AACCUAGCACACCUGCGGUGUGUACCUGCGGAGGGAUCAUUACAGAGUUAUCCAACUCCCAAACCCAUGUGAACUUAUCUCUUUGUUGCCUCGGCGCAAGCUACCCGGGACCUCGCGCCCCGGGCGGCCCGCCGGCGGACAAACCAAAACUCUUGUUAUCUUAGUUGAUUAUCUGAGUGUCUUAUUUAAUAAGUCAAAACUUUUAGCAACGGAUCU
RNAcentral lists this unclassified non-coding RNA (216 nucleotides) under soil metagenome. RNAcentral's name for it is "partial contains 5.8S ribosomal RNA, internal transcribed spacer 2, and large subunit ribosomal RNA". The record is from RNAcentral.